CCUACGGGAGGCAGCAGUGAGGAAUAUUGGUCAAUGGGCGCAAGCCUGAACCAGCCAAGUCGCGUGAGGGAUGACGGUCCUAUGGAUUGUAAACCUCUUUUGUCGGGGAGCAAGGCCCGCCACGUGUGGCGGGAAGGAGAGUACCCGAAGAAAAAGCAACGGCUAACGCCGUGCCAGCAGCCGCGGUAAGACGGAGGAUGCGAGCUUGAUCCGGAUGGAUGGGGUUGAAAGGGUGCGUAGGCGGAAGGUUAAGUCAGCGGUCAAAUGUCGGUGCUCCACACCGGCCUGCCGUUGCAACUGGUCUUCUUGAGUGCGCGAGAAGUAUUCUGCCUGCGUGUUGUAGCGGUGACCUGCAUAGAUAUCAGGAGGAACACCGGCGGCGCAGGCGGCCUGCUGGACUGAACCUGACGUUGAGGCUCGAAAGCGUGGGGAGCAAACAGGAUUAGAUACCCCUGUAGUC
This 460-nucleotide ribosomal RNA is filed under the name uncultured bacterium. Its description in RNAcentral is "partial 16S ribosomal RNA". It matches the Rfam family "Bacterial small subunit ribosomal RNA", at positions 338 to 795 of the family's 1533-position model. The record is from RNAcentral.